CAGUCGCCGCGGGAAUACGUAGGGGGCAAGCGUUAUCCGGAAUUACUGGGUGUAAAGGGAGCGUAGACGGUUAUACAAGUCUGAAGUGAAAUGCCGGGGCUCAACCCCGGAGCUGCUUCGGGAACUGUAGAACUGGAGUGUCGGAGGGGUAAGCGGAAUUCCCAGUGUAGCGGUGAAAUGCGUAGAUAUUGGGAGGAACACCGGCGGCGAAGGCGGCUUACUGGAUGACAACUGACGUUGAGGCUCGAAGGCGUGGGUAGCAAACAGGAUUAGAGACCCCCGUAGUCCCUGUCUCUUAUAC
Molecule: ribosomal RNA, 301 nt
Filed under: uncultured bacterium
Lineage: Bacteria
Description: partial 16S ribosomal RNA
Rfam family: Bacterial small subunit ribosomal RNA
Source: RNAcentral